Molecule: ribosomal RNA, 1001 nt
Filed under: Moraxella sp. Everest-gws-54
Lineage: Bacteria; Pseudomonadati; Pseudomonadota; Gammaproteobacteria; Moraxellales; Moraxellaceae
Description: bacterial SSU rRNA
Rfam family: Bacterial small subunit ribosomal RNA
Source: RNAcentral
AUGCAAGUCGAACGAUGACUAACUAGCUUGCUAGUUAUGAUUAGUGGCGGACGGGUGAGUAACAUUUAGGAAUCUGCCUAGUAGUGGGGGAUAGCUCGGGGAAACUCGAAUUAAUACCGCAUACGACCUACGGGUGAAAGGGGGCGCAAGCUCUUGCUAUUAGAUGAGCCUAAAUCAGAUUAGCUAGUUGGUGGGGUAAAGGCCUACCAAGGCGACGAUCUGUAACUGGUCUGAGAGGAUGAUCAGUCACACCGGAACUGAGACACGGUCCGGACUCCUACGGGAGGCAGCAGUGGGGAAUAUUGGACAAUGGGGGCAACCCUGAUCCAGCCAUGCCGCGUGUGUGAAGAAGGCCUUUUGGUUGUAAAGCACUUUAAGCAGGGAGGAGAGGCUAAUGGUUAAUACCCAUUAGAUUAGACGUUACCUGCAGAAUAAGCACCGGCUAACUCUGUGCCAGCAGCCGCGGUAAUACAGAGGGUGCGAGCGUUAAUCGGAAUUACUGGGCGUAAAGCGAGUGUAGGUGGCUCAUUAAGUCACAUGUGAAAUCCCCGGGCUUAACCUGGGAACUGCAUGUGAUACUGGUGGGCUAGAAUAUGUGAGAGGGAAGUAGAAUUCCAGGUGUAGCGGUGAAAUGCGUAGAGAUCUGGAGGAAUACCGAUGGCGAAGGCAGCUUCCUGGCAUAAUAUUGACACUGAGAUUCGAAAGCGUGGGUAGCAAACAGGAUUAGAUACCCUGGUAGUCCACGCCGUAAACGAUGUCUACUAGCCGUUGGGGUCCUUGAGACUUUAGUGGCGCAGUUAACGCGAUAAGUAGACCGCCUGGGGAGUACGGCCGCAAGGUUAAAACUCAAAUGAAUUGACGGGGGCCCGCACAAGCGGUGGAGCAUGUGGUUUAAUUCGAUGCAACGCGAAGAACCUUAUCUGGUCUUGACAUAGUGAGAAUCCUGCAGAGAUGCGGGAGUGCCUUCGGGAAUUCACAUACAGGUGCUGCAUGGCUGUCGU